Molecule: ribosomal RNA, 918 nt
Filed under: uncultured bacterium
Lineage: Bacteria
Description: bacterial SSU rRNA
Rfam family: Bacterial small subunit ribosomal RNA
Source: RNAcentral
CGACCGGCGGAAGGGUGCGUAACGCGUGAGCAACAUUCCCGCAUCUGGGGGAUAAGCACUGGAAACGGUGUCUAAUACCCCAUAACAACGGAUUCCACAUGGAGACCGUUUGAAAGCUACGACGGAUGCGGAUUGGCUCGCGUGACAUUAGCUAGUCGGCGGGGUAACGGCCCACCGAGGCGACGAUGUCUAGGGGUUCUGAGAGGAAGGUCCCCCACACUGGAACUGAGACACGGUCCAGACUCCUACGGGAGGCAGCAGUGAGGAAUAUUGGUCAAUGGGCGGAAGCCUGAACCAGCCAUGCCGCGUGAAGGAAUAAGGCCCUAUGGGUCGUAAACUUCUUUUGUGGUGGAGCAAUAAGGGCUACGCGUAGUCCGAUGAGAGUACAUCACGAAUAAGCAUCGGCUAACUCCGUGCCAGCAGCCGCGGUAAUACGGAGGAUGCAAGCGUUAUCCGGAUUUAUUGGGUUUAAAGGGUGCGUAGGCUGUGCCGCAAGUCGGGGGUGAAAGCCCGGGGCCCAACCCCGGAACUGCCCUUGAUACUGCGGCGCUGGAGUUCGGAUGCCGUGGGAGGAAUGAGUAGUGUAGCGGUGAAAUGCAUAGAUAUUACUCAGAACACCGAUUGCGAAGGCAUCUCACGAAUCCGACACUGACGCUGAGGCACGAAAGCGUGGGGAUCAAACAGGAUUAGAUACCCUGGUAGUCCACGCAGUAAACGAUGAUGACUAACUGUCGGCGAUAAACAGUCGGUGGCCAAGCGAAAGCGAUAAGUCAUCCACCUGGGGAGUACGUUCGCAAGAAUGAAACUCAAAGGAAUUGACGGGGGCCCGCACAAGCGGAGGAACAUGUGGUUUAAUUCGAUGAUACGCGAGGAACCUUACCCGGGCUCGAACGGCUAGUGAACGACCCAGAGAUGGAA